RNAcentral lists this ribosomal RNA (467 nucleotides) under uncultured bacterium. Its description in RNAcentral is "partial 16S ribosomal RNA". It matches the Rfam family "Bacterial small subunit ribosomal RNA", at positions 28 to 507 of the family's 1533-position model. The record is from RNAcentral.
GACGAACGCUGGCGGCGUGCUUAACACAUGCAAGUCGAACGGAAAGGCCUCUUUCGGGGGGUACUCGAGUGGCGAACGGGUGAGUAACACGUGAGUAACCUGCCCUUUACUUUGGGAUAACUUCAGGAGACUGGGGCUAAUACCGGAUAGGAGCUCCUGCUGCAUGGUGGGGGGUGGAAAGUUUCGGCGGUUGGGGAUGGACUCGCGGCUUAUCAGCUUGUUGGUGGGGUAGUGGCUUACCAAGGCUUUGACGGGUAGCCGGCCUGAGAGGGUGACCGGCCACAUUGGGACUGAGAUACGGCCCAGACUCCUACGGGAGGCAGCAGUGGGGAAUAUUGCACAAUGGGUGGAAGCCUGAUGCAGCAACGCCGUGUGCGGGAUGACGGCCUUCGGGUUGUAAACCGCUUUCGCUCAUGACGAAGCUUUGUGUGACGGUAGUGGGUAAAGAAGCACCGGCUAACUACGUG